Molecule: ribosomal RNA, 353 nt
Filed under: Pseudabispa ephippioides
Lineage: Eukaryota; Metazoa; Arthropoda; Insecta; Hymenoptera; Vespidae
Description: partial 12S ribosomal RNA
Source: RNAcentral
AAUAAAUAAAUAAAUAAAAGUGUUAAAGUAUUAAAUGAUAUAUCAUUAAAUUUAUAAGAUUUGGCGGUAUUCCAUUCAAUUUAGGGGAACUUGUCGAGUAAUUGAUGAUCCACGAUAAGAUUUACUUAAUUUAAUAUUUAUGUAUUGCUGUUUUUAGAUAUGCUGUAAAAGUAUAGUUAAGAUUUAUAAUGUAUAAUAAUAAAAUAAUUCAAGUCAAAAUAUAGUUUAAUUAAGGAUUGGAUGAGUUACAAUAGAUUUAAAUUAUGGAUUUUUAAAUUUAAUAUUUAAGAUGAAAUUGGACUUAAAAGUAAAAUUAAUAAAUUAAUUAAUUUGAAAUAUGUUUUGGGAUAUGU